CCACUCGGACGCGAUACAGGGACGAAACAAGGAAGCCAAGAUACCCUCCUGAACUUUCAAGGGGCCUCCCAGCUCCAGACAUGCCCAUCCGAAAACGAUCUGCUUCUUCAACAUCACUCCCCCCUCAAAACGUAUCUUGCCCUCGCGUAGUUGCCUGACAGGAUUUUGGUCGCCUUCCUGACAGCUAUGGUAAUUUCCUGCUUUUUGGGUUACUCGACUGGGAUUCCCAUUUAGCUCCACUCAACAGGAGGCCCAUGCUUAGUUCUCUCCUUGUUAGUGUUUAUGCUCAACUCAUCCUCACCCUUCUGGUAAGAGGGCUCCUUGACACUGAUAUCUUGACACCCUCACAGGCAGAAGAGAGGGCCUAAGUUUGUCUCACUUCUUUUUGCCUCUUUAAAAUAAAUUGGCCUGUACUGGCUGCCAUGAGGCUGAGUUAUUUCAAGUGCAUAACUCAGGGUGACAGGUAUGCCAUUCACUAUGCCCGUAUUGGGUCUGCCUUCUAAUCUCUGCUUUCAUUCACGGUGGUUCUAUCUCUCUUGACCGCCAGAGUCAGUCCUGGGAGCGGUGUGGGGCUCGGACAGUUGUAAGACGUGUUGUGUGGGCUGAAUUAGCUGUUGUACAAUUCCUGUCUAUCUCAUUGAAUACGGCUUUCAGCGGCCCCUCGUGCCAAGUUUGAGUCCAAUUAAACUACAAUGAAAGGUACCAUGAUUUCAUUUGCUUGGAUUGUCACAUUUCAGAAGUUCAGUAGCCUGCAAAAUGUUCGCUGUCUCUCAUUAAAGCCAGUCCCGGCAACUGUGUAAAGGCUCUAAUUUAGCUGCUUUUUAUACUCUGCUUUCAGCCCUGAAGAUGGCUGCCUGCAGGGAAGAAUCCUAACGCGACCCGAGAUAUCGGAAAGCGUUUCUGACCACGCAAAUGGAAAAGGCUCAAGAAUAGCAAAACUGACUCUACAACAGAAAUAAGUCUUCUCCAUCCACUGAAUCUUUCAGCUGAGCCCGGAGUAAGAUCUGAAAAGAGGAAGAGUUACAAGUGGAAAUUUUGCAGUCUGGUUGGGUGAAGGUCAACAUUCACCCAGUACAUUUUUUUGAUCAUCCCACCAUCACUAUCCUUAACUCUCAAGGCACAAGAAACGGUCACAUUACCGAGCUGGAAGAGAAAUAAGGAACAAAAGAAAUUAUUCAUGGAGUUACAAUGCAAAGAAGUCUAUUUUAAAAAUAAACAGAACUGAGUUUUUGGAGCCUCUGAAUAAAAGAUAAGUUGACUGCACACAGAAUGUCAAAAUGGAGGGGAAGGAAGGUAUUUUUCCCCCCAACACUUUUUUUCUGUACUGAAGCACGACACAAAGGAAAAAAAAAAAACCUAAUUAUAGUUUUAAAUGUCCAAAACGCCAUGUCCACCAAAAGCCCGAUGCUCAUUAGUACUAGUAAUUAACUUUACAACUGUCAACACAAACAGCACACAGGCUGACAGAUAGAGAGUAGCUCGGAGGGUGCUAAUAAAUCCGGAAAUAACAACUUGACAUACAGAUGCACAAAAGGAUGCAGGUGAUAAAGAAAUGUUGACAUCAAAUCUAAUUAUCUUCGAAACGGCCAAGUACAGCACGAGCCACAGUUAUUGCUGGUGAUGAGCCCCACCGGAACGGCGCUUAACCACUGCCUGCAACCCAGCUUUUACAGCCCUUGUCAGAGCUGGUGAGGACGAUAUCAAACAGGAAAUUAUGAGUGCCAUGACCCCUCCAAGUCAAAAAUCCAGUGAUGAAUAUGGGCUCAGCAAGGCAUAGCAGAUUACCCCCUCACGAGUUCUAAAGCUGGGAUGAUAUAUGACAUUUUUAUCAGGCACUUUCUCAGGAAUGUCACCAAGAGGGAAAAUAAAGGCCCAUGCGCAGAGAACUAGGUGAAUUAUGCAACUGUAAUUGCCGAUCAUAACCUGAUAUGAGUUGAAAUUGCUCUGUUUUCAUAUUGAGAUAGCAUAAAAUUGUCGGGAAAUGCAAUGGCUCCUUAAUGUGGGCUAGAUGAGUCUAAUAUUCUGAUCAUUUUUCACUCGGCUUGCAAGGUAAAUCGAGCUUCCCUCGCACAGCCACUGUGGCCCAGGGCAAUCGAGGGGCCCAAUUUUACACUUGAAUUGAGCAAAUAUGUGUAAACCACGAUUUUUCAUAUUUUCUGCAUGCAUAAGAAGAUGAAACAUCUUUAUCAUCUGUAUUGUCUGGCUGAGCUUAUACAAAAUAUUAGUUUAUCUGUCCUACUUUGGAUCGUUCCAUAAGCGAGACACAUAGAUCUGAAGGAAGGCAAUAUCCCCCCCAUAUAUAAAACAAGUCCAUCUUUUAUGCAGUGUCACCGCACAAGUUUUCCUAUUUGGAGCCAACGCCACCGCCACAAAAGUCGACACAGUGGCAGCGCCACAAAGGAAGACAUUUGUUCGAGGGGAGGAGAGGAGGCCGAUCCAGGCGCUAAACGCAGCCAACUGUUCCGCCAUUCUCCUGUUUGCGCACGGGAGCCGGGGGAAAGCCAAAUAAUCCCUGAUGUCUCUGCUAGACUGUCUCCCUUUUCCCACUUAAAUCAGUUACACCGGCAAGAGGCUGGUAUCAGCAUUUUAUUGCUUUCCCGCUGCGGCCUGCGGCACCAAACGG
Long non-coding RNA from Herpailurus yagouaroundi (jaguarundi), 2623 nucleotides. RefSeq lists it as uncharacterized. The transcript has 2 exons. The record is from RefSeq and is a predicted model, not a curated record. Lineage: Eukaryota; Metazoa; Chordata; Mammalia; Carnivora; Felidae.